Molecule: unclassified non-coding RNA, 280 nt
Filed under: Hevea brasiliensis (rubber tree)
Lineage: Eukaryota; Viridiplantae; Streptophyta; Magnoliopsida; Malpighiales; Euphorbiaceae
Source: RNAcentral
UGUAGUCUUACCCGACGCCGUUCCUCCAGAAACCCCGAUGACGAAAGGCUGUUUAGGAGCAGUGGAAUCAAGAGGGGUAGGGGUUGAGAAAUGAGUGGGGGUAGGAGUAGCACGGGGAGAAGAUGAAGAAGAAGUGAGAAGUCCAUCAACUCGGAGACCGGAAAAGUGUGCACCAGAAGCUGCCUCCAUCACGUAAUCUAUCGCCGUUGUUUCCUCCGGCACCGGCGACAUAAUUGCUUUUUAUAUUUUUCUUUUUUCUUUCUUGUUUGCGAAAGCCAGA